GAUGAACGCUAGCUACAGGCUUAACACAUGCAAGUCGAGGGGAAACGACAUCGAAAGCUUGCUUUUGAUGGGCGUCGACCGGCGCACGGGUGAGUAACGCGUAUCCAACCUGCCCACCACUUGGGGAUAACCUUGCGAAAGUAAGACUAAUACCCAAUGACGUCUCUAGAAGACAUCUGAAAGAGAUUAAAGAUUUAUCGGUGAUGGAUGGGGAUGCGUCUGAUUAGCUUGUUGGCGGGGUAACGGCCCACCAAGGCGACGAUCAGUAGGGGUUCUGAGAGGAAGGUCCCCCACAUUGGAACUGAGACACGGUCCAAACUCCUACGGGAGGCAGCAGUGAGGAAUAUUGGUCAAUGGGCGAGAGCCUGAACCAGCCAAGUAGCGUGCAGGAUGACGGCCCUAUGGGUUGUAAACUGCUUUUGUACGGAACGAAACGGCGAGCUCUAAUACAGUUUGCUAAUGACGGUACCGUAAGAAUAAGCACCGGCUAACUACGUGCCAGCCGCCGCGGUAA
Molecule: ribosomal RNA, 514 nt
Filed under: uncultured bacterium
Lineage: Bacteria
Description: partial 16S ribosomal RNA
Rfam family: Bacterial small subunit ribosomal RNA
Source: RNAcentral